AUGAAACACGUAUCGAUCGAAGUACCACUGAUGGUUCUUCAAAUUGAUGAAGAUGAUAAGAAAAUUAGAGAAUCUUCUUCUUUGCAAAAUCCAGAUGAAUCAAUUCAGUUAUUGUUGUUGUUGAUUCAAAGAAUGUGGAGACUAAGAAAUAAACUCAGAUUUAGAGUUUACAAUUGGUCAAUGAGUGGAGCUUCAAAUAUUGGAGGUUUGUUGAAGAGAAUCAAGAAGUUUGAAGUGGUUAAAGAAUACUGA
Non-coding RNA from Vicia faba (fava bean), 252 nucleotides. The record is from the annotation of a GenBank genome assembly. Lineage: Eukaryota; Viridiplantae; Streptophyta; Magnoliopsida; Fabales; Fabaceae.